This 65-nucleotide transfer RNA is filed under the name Dipodomys ordii (Ord's kangaroo rat). It matches the Rfam family "tRNA". From Rfam's summary of the family: Transfer RNA (tRNA) molecules are approximately 80 nucleotides in length. Their secondary structure includes four short double-helical elements and three loops (D, anti-codon, and T loops). Further hydrogen bonds mediate the characteristic L-shaped molecular structure. tRNAs have two regions of fundamental functional importance: the anti-codon, which is responsible for specific mRNA codon recognition, and the 3' end, to which the tRNAs corresponding amino acid is attached (by aminoacyl-tRNA synthetases). tRNAs cope with the degeneracy of the genetic code in two manners: having more than one tRNA (with a specific anti-codon) for a particular amino acid; and 'wobble' base-pairing, i.e. permitting non-standard base-pairing at the 3rd anti-codon position. Lineage: Eukaryota; Metazoa; Chordata; Mammalia; Rodentia; Heteromyidae. The record is from Rfam by way of RNAcentral.
GGUGGCUCAGUGGUAGAGUGCUUGUCUAGAAUGCAUGAGGCCCUGGGUUCGAUUCCUCAGCACCA